This 225-nucleotide long non-coding RNA is filed under the name Elaeis guineensis (African oil palm). RNAcentral describes it as "long non-coding RNA (EGUI_LNC028376)". Lineage: Eukaryota; Viridiplantae; Streptophyta; Magnoliopsida; Arecales; Arecaceae. The record is from RNAcentral.
CUCUAAGAGAGAAAGGACUUGUUGCACUUCUGCACAACAAUAGCUUCAAGUCUUAGAUAUAAAAUUUCUGGUAAUGUAUCAAAAAAUUUAUAGUUCUCCCUUAAAUUAAAUCAGCAUAUAUUAGUUAAAAUUUUAUAUUGUAAAGUAAAUGAAUGAUAAAAUAAAUCUGAUGCAUAAAUUAUAUGAAAUGAUCUUUUACACACAUUUAUCUCAAUUUCUGAGGAU